UCUCAAUGUCAAUUGGAAUGGUAGCAUUAGACUCUACUCAGAGAUUUUCACAUUCAGGGGAAAUUUGGUUUUUUCUUAACUGGAUAAAGCAAAACUUCAUGAACCCAGUGUUAUGUGAAAAUUAGAAAAAUAAACUAUGCCUCCUAGAAUAGAUAAUAGAAAUAAAGAGAAAGCACUAAUGGCAGAAACAGAAGACUAGUGAAAGAUUACUUUGAGCCUUGAAAAAGUACAGAUAAUUAUUAAUGUUAAUAUUGUUAUCAAUAUCAUCUAUUGAGAAUCUACAAGGCCCAAAACAGGCCCUCUCUGUACACUCUCUCUAACCCUCAAACAAGCCCCCAUUAAAUAGGUGUUAUCUCUGCUUCCCAGGAGAAGAAACCAAGAUUCAGAAAGGUCAAGAAGAAUCUUGCCUAAAUGAGGUAACCAACCAUACCAUUCAAAGCCUUACAGCUCCAAGAAAACCAGGACAGCAAUGCCAAGCUGCAUAGCUGAUGGAUAGAGAAGCCUAGAUCCCAACCAGGGUUUGUCUGGCUCCAUGUCUCACUCUCUUGCCACAAUGCCAGAGGGAAUACCAACAAAUGGGCAAAAUAAAUUUGUAAAUACAUACAAAGAAUUGAAGAAAGGAAUAACAGGAGAGAAAGAGGGAGGUAGAAAGAAAGAAAAAAAGAACAAAUGAAUGAGCAAGAAAAAGGAAGGAACUAAGAGCAAGGGAGGAAACAAAGAAGGGUGGAAGGAAGUUGUAAAUGUACUACAAAGAGAAAAAUUUUCCUAUGAAGCCAAGAAGCAUGAUACUUAAAACAAUUUAACUAAAACUUCAGUUUUUAAUUUCUAUUUUCACAAAGUUCUAAAAGCAUGUCUGUUGUAAGUGGUGCACUGACAGAUGAAGAGAGUGGGAGAGCACCUGGGGCUCCCUGAACCCCUCUGGAGCCUACACAUUCAGCCUUUGCAAAACUCUCAGUGUGCUGCGUUUAAAGAGAACAGCAAUGCUCUCAGUUUGCUCUGUGUCU
This 1004-nucleotide long non-coding RNA is filed under the name Marmota monax (woodchuck). Lineage: Eukaryota; Metazoa; Chordata; Mammalia; Rodentia; Sciuridae. The record is from RNAcentral.